GAUGAACGCUGGCGGCGUGCCUAAUACAUGCAAGUCGAGCGAACGGACGAGAAGCUUGCUUCUCUGAUGUUAGCGGCGGACGGGUGUGUAACACGUGGAUAACCUACCUAUAAGACUGGUAUAACUUCGGGAAACCGGAUCUAAUACCGGAUAAUAUUUUGAACCGCAUGGUUCAAUAGUGAAAUACGUUCUUGCUUUCACUUAUAGAUGGAUCCGCGCUGCAUUAGCUAGUUGGUAAGGUAACGGCUUACCAAGGCAACGAUGCAUAGCCGACGUGAGAGGGUGAUCGGCCACACUGGAAAGGAGACACGGACAAGAGGCCUACGGGAGGCAGCAGAAGGGAAUGUUACGCAAUGGGGGAAAGCAUGACGGAGCAACGCCGAGUGAGAGAUGAAGGACUUGGGAUCGUAAAACUCUGUUAUUAGGGAAGAACAAAUGUGUAAGUAAAUGUGCACAGAUUGACGGUAACUAAUCAGAAAGCAACGGCUAACUACGUG
This 497-nucleotide ribosomal RNA is filed under the name uncultured bacterium. RNAcentral's name for it is "partial 16S ribosomal RNA". It matches the Rfam family "Bacterial small subunit ribosomal RNA", at positions 28 to 507 of the family's 1533-position model. The record is from RNAcentral.